CUCGUCUCCUUUGGCACGCCGUGCAUCCGUGAGGCGCGGCCCGCUUUAGGUGCACCUGGAAAAAAAAGGCGACAGGUAAUUGGCGCCUCUCUAGUCCCAUCGCCCGCGCCGCGCCGCUCAGGAAAAGAAGGGAAAAGGAUCCAUCCCCGCUCCGAGUCCGAUCCAUCCGAUCCAACCACCGCCUUCCCAUCCCGGCCGUGCAACGCCACGCCAGGACGCCACGCAGGGAGGCGGAGGAGCAGGGCAGGAGGGAUCCCCACAAAAACAGCGGCACCAGCGGCAGCGAGCCGGGUUAGACAGAGGAGUCACGCGACGAGCGAGCGAGCGAGCGAGAAAAACGAGGCGAGAGCUCCGACCCAGCCAAGCCCGAAUCUGAAUGGCCUCCGCCACCCCGGCGGUGCCCGACCCCGCCCUCGGCCUCCGCCACCCCGGCGCUCUCGCCCGCCGCAUCGCCAUGGCGCGCGGCGCCGCCGUCGCGCCAGCGCUCCGUCCCUGGCUCCUCUUCGACGCCGUGCCCCUCGUCGUCGUCGUCCUCAUCGCCGCGCACGUCCUCGCCCUCGGCUACUGGAUCUACAGGCUCGCCACCGACGGGUCCAAGCACCCUGCGCGGAGCAAGAAACACUAGACAGCAGCCGCAGGCCCGCAGUGGCUGCCUGGAUGCUUGUAGCUUGUUAGCCGUCUAGGUUUUUGCAUCUCUGCUUGUCAAUCUCCAAGGUUUCCCGUGUAAAGUGAUGGCGUGGCGAAACUCAUGAAAGAAGUGGAGGUAGGAAACCUGUCACUCGGAUUGAUCUGUUCAGAUGUUGGUUUCGAAUCGUGGCGUGAGCUGGUGCGUGGAAAGGACCUUCUAUGGCCAUACAUAGCAUAUUGAGUUGUUGAAAAGAUCUGUCUACUCAUAGAUGAUGUUUCUGUGUAAAAGACCAUUAGCUAGAUAAGUGCUCCCAUUUUCAUCUGAUGUGGGCUUGUAUAAUCUUUACGAGAGCAUCUUUUUCUUUGCCCCUGACCAUGUAAGGUUGGCAUGGAAGUUUCUACCCUGUCUGAACAAGUUGGUCAUGGCACUGCAACUGCUUGCUCAUGUGCGCACCUCCAUGACAAUUAUCCCUCCUGAUUAUGUUGGAUGUCUGAACAAGAUUGUCCAGCAUAUAAGACUAGUGUACAUCCC
This 1159-nucleotide ribosomal RNA is filed under the name Triticum aestivum (bread wheat). Its description in RNAcentral is "partial small subunit ribosomal RNA". The record is from RNAcentral. Lineage: Eukaryota; Viridiplantae; Streptophyta; Magnoliopsida; Poales; Poaceae.